GAGGGAGAAGCAGACUCCCCGCCUAGCAGGGAGCCCGAUGCGGGACUCGAUCCCAGGACUCCAGGAUCAUGACCUGAGCCGAAGGCAGUCGCUUAACCAACUGAGCCACCCAGGCGCCCCUCUCCUUGUUUUUUUUCUGUUUGUUUGUUUUGUUUUUUGUUUUUAUUCUUAAAGACCCUCUUUCAUAUCUCGUGGAGCUCUUCUUUUAUUGGUAGUAUUAAGUGCCCGAGGCCUCAACGCUGAGACUCAACUGCUGUUGAAAUCCAAGAAGACAGACACAGCACAAUAUUUUAAUCAUUCACGUUAGCUAGCCUACACAAUAAGGAUGAAAAGAAGAGUCGGAGUGAGCAGAGAUCAGAACUGUCAUCGGAACAAGCCUGGGCUAAGAGGAACAGGGUGGAAGAUCCAUGGUUAGACGUGGUCAGUGGGACAGGAAUUACUCAAUCACAUAAGUACUUGAAUCAAUGGAUGCUGAACGACCAAUGACCAUGGAGGGAAAUUUGCAAGACCUGUAAUACUGCAACUUGUUGCCUGAUAUCUUAGCAAAGACAACCCCAAAGACAACAACUACAAACAGGGACAUCGAUUGCCCGUCCUACUCUUCCUCUUUCCCAGACUUUACCAAGAUGAGAUUGCGAUCACCUAAAGAUGUGCGGGGAUGCUUUCUUGCCCAUCUGCUCGGGAGCGACAUGCCAACUGGACACGGCCAGGCAGGAGAGCCAGUGGUGCUGGGACUGAGGGACUGAGUCAGCGCUAGGACCCCGCUCCUGCAGCAGUCCCUGCAUCAGGGCAGACUGAUGACAAGAGAUCACAUUUGUGGAUACUGUAGAGAAAGAACGAGCAGCAAACAUCCAGAUCCUGUGCCCCAUUUCCUAGUUCACCUCUCUUCUGGGGAUCGGCUGACUGGGGGUGGGAGGGGGUAAUGGAGACUUCCCUG
Mirounga angustirostris (Northern elephant seal) is the source of this 937-nucleotide long non-coding RNA. RefSeq lists it as uncharacterized. Lineage: Eukaryota; Metazoa; Chordata; Mammalia; Carnivora; Phocidae. The record is from RefSeq and is a predicted model, not a curated record. The transcript has 7 exons.